Molecule: long non-coding RNA, 2393 nt
Organism: Chenopodium quinoa (quinoa)
Lineage: Eukaryota; Viridiplantae; Streptophyta; Magnoliopsida; Caryophyllales; Amaranthaceae
Exons: 7
Source: RefSeq, a predicted model, not a curated record
UACGUAUUACGUAUAAGCAACUUAGUAUGUAGAACUACUAUGAUACACCAAAGUCAUAAAAUCUCUUAAUCAAUUACAAAUGGUUUAGGUUGUGUUCUAUUCACCUGAUGUUCACUUAUCUUAACUUAUUAGACCUUAUGAAAACUUAUUUAUAGGACACCUAAACAUAACGCUUAAACAUAACCCUAUCCAUAAACCCUAAACCCUAAAUAAUGUUAUUCUAAUAUAAGAACUCACAACAUUUUACGAUACAAUUAAAAAAAUUGAUAACAAAAAAUAUAACAUAUGCAAAAGUAUCUUACGAACCCAAAAAAAAAAAAAAAAAAAGAAGCCAUUUAGGACUACUAAAUUUGAAAAAUUGCACAAAUUAUAAAACGUAUAUAAGUUAUAGAUAUAUUCGCAGACAUGUAUUAAUAAAAGUAUGUAUUAGUAUAAACUUUUAUUAAAGAAUAGAGUCAUCAUUACAUCCUUUGCCUACAUCCCCCUUACUCAUACCUAUGAUUAGACGAUUCACUAUGGCCAAUUUGUUUUUUUAUUUUUAUUUUUUGUUUUAUAUAUAUUUUUAAAAAUUCUUAGAAAAAUAAUUAUAGUCAUUGAUGUGCUGUUUACAAAGAUAGGUUUUUUUGAAAAUAAGUUUUUACUAAUAAUUUUUGUUAAAAAUAUAAUAUGUAAUAUUUUAAAGAAGAACUUGUAAUAUUUCCUCAAAAAAUAUAUUACCUCCGUUCUAAAAGUUCGACUUACUUACUAUUCAUGUGGUCAAACUAAAAUAACUUUGACCAUAUUUUAUAAUUUAUACAAUAGAAAUAAAUAAAACAUGUGAGAUCUUGUUAAAUUCUCCUUAUUAUAAAUAUUCUAAAUAUCAACUUCUUAUAACUUUCACUUAUACAUAAUCAGAGAUAUUCUUGAUCAAAUAUGUUCAUUAGAGACCGUACAAAUGUAAAGUGAGUCCAACUUUCAGGAAUAAAAGGAGUAUACAUAUAUAUAAAAAAUAAGAAAAUUUGUGAUUCGACUCAACAUUUCACUAAAAGAAGAACCGUCAUUUUUAUAAAUAUUGUAUUUAGGGUGAAAACCGCUCUAGUAAAAAAAAUUAAGUAACAAAAAAAAAAAAAAAAAAAAAAAAACUACCUGCCUUCAAUAUUUCACUUUAUUUUAUUGCACUUGCAUUUUCCCAUAACUCUUCUCUUUCCUCUGUAAUCAAUGGAUUCAAAGAAAACAAAAUCGGCGGCCGAUGAAGACUUCUUCGCUUCUCUAUUCGUCCAACACCAGCAAGCAUCUUCCCAAAUUCUACGAUUGAGUCAUCUACCAAAAAGGUUUCAUAGGACAAUGAACCUGCGAAUAAUCAAUGGGAUACGAUAACAAAUUUGGCAGGGCGAUUGGCAAAGGAUUCAGAGAAGGACCAAGUGGGAGGGGAACCUACACAUGUGUCUAAUGUAGGCACUGUGGGUAGUAGCGGAAAGGCCGCCAUUAAUGAAGCUGAAACAGAUAAAUCCUACAACAAAGGAGAGUCUCAAACGGGAGGAGCAUCUCGUUCUACAAAUGAGAAUGUAGCGGGUGACAAAGAUACUUCUGAACCACCAGCAAAGGAACUAGAAACUGCUGAUGUUCACGGUUUUCCAAAAGAAAUUCCUGUUGUUCCAAGUGCUCCUAAAGAUAGAGAGGAAAAAAAUGCAGAGGAGGCAACCCCAAACCCGGAAUUCAGGCUAUCAGAACAAACAACAAAAAAUCAAACAACCGAAGGCAUCCCAUCCAGUCAGCCCUUAGAAAAAGCUCAACCUACCAUUGUUGAUAAAAUUGCUGCUGCUGCUGGAAGUUCUGAUGCUACAAGUAACCUGCAGUAAUUCCUAUAGCUGAAGAGUUAUAGUAGGGCAUUUAAAUAAGAUUUGAUGUUAGAAAAUUAUAUUUGAUCAUCUAAAAUUAAAUAUGAUUAAUAUGUCUAUAUUGCAGAAGAUAAUGUUAUAAAAAAUUAAUAAAUGAUACUGGAAAUAUUAAUAAAUGUAUUUCCUAAAAUUGUGUGUGUUUGUAGGAACAUUCAAAAGAAAAUGAGACAACCAAAGGCAACCCAGAAAAUCAGACCUCAGAGAUUCCUCCUGUUGCUGGAAGUGCUGCUGGCGGAAGUUGUACAGUAGAUAGAGAGUUAUGUGUGUUUGCAGGAACAAAAAAUUGGGUAGCCUACAGGAGAACCUAUAUCUACAAGAUAAACUGGGCAGCUUACAGGCAGUGAAGGUGCAACAAAAAACCCAGCAAGUCAGCCCUUUAAAAAUCUACAACCUGCUGUUCAUGAAAUUGGUAGAGCGGUAUAAUAUGGCAUUUAAAUUGUAUACUUAAUUUUUUUUUUGCGAACUAAAUUAAUUCAUUAAUAAAAAUCCAUUCAACAUCUAAAUUGUAUAGUUUUA